This 460-nucleotide ribosomal RNA is filed under the name uncultured bacterium. RNAcentral describes it as "partial 16S ribosomal RNA". It matches the Rfam family "Bacterial small subunit ribosomal RNA", at positions 338 to 795 of the family's 1533-position model. The record is from RNAcentral.
CCUACGGGGAGCAGCAGUGAGGAAUAUUGGUCAAUGGACGAGAGUCUGAACGAGCCAAGUAGCGUGAAGGAUGACUGCCCUAUGGGUUGUAAACUUCUUUUAUAUGGGAAUAAAAUGUUCCAAGUGUGGGAUUUUGUAUGUACCAUAUGAAUAAGGAACGGCUAACUCCGUGCCAGCAGCCGCGGUAAUACGGAGGAUCCGAGCGUUAUCCGGAUUUAUUGGGUUUAACGGGAGCGUAGGUGGAUUGUUAAGUCAGUUGUGAAAGUUUGCGGCUCAACCGUAAAAUUGCAGUUGAAACGGGCAGUCGUGAGUACAGUAGAGGUGGGCGGAAUUCGUGGUGUAGCGGUGAAAUGCUUAGAUAUCACGAAGAACUCCGAUUGCGAAGGCAGCUCACUGGACUGCAACUGACACUGAGGCUCGAAAGUGUGGGUAUCAAACAGGAUUAGAUACCCCAGUAGUC